GUGGCUUUUUCACCCCUUCUGCAGGAAAGAUAGUUGAAGCUAAAAUGAGAAGAGCUCUUUUUAUUUAAUAUAACAUAUAAACCUUGUACAAGUGUCAGUAUUUAAAAUGCUUUCUGGAGAAAGAGAAUAGUGCAGCACCGUGCAUAAUGGGUUUUGUAAGUGGGGCCACAGAAGUCCUGCGAGGACACAAACCAAUUAUUAACAUAAACGCUUAAUGAAAUUGCAUCAGUUGUCUAGAUGAGAAGCAUAGUGCUCCCUGGUUCACUUAGAGUGAGGGAGGGGUACAGGAAUUUAAGGUGCAAACCUAGCAUAGGUAGGUGACGGUUAAUUUAACAGACAUUUGUUUCCUUUCAGUGUUUUCAGUUGGGUAAUUUUUUGAGAGUGCUAUAGAAAUACAGUACUUAAACAUGUAUUAGAAUGCCUAAAGCAAAAUGCUCAGAUUAAGUUGAAAUAGCUUGGGCUCUGUUCUUACAUUUAAAAGAAAACUGAAGGUCUGAUGCUUUAGAUAAGAAAGGUUAUACUGAUUUAUAGAGUUUUGUUGUAUAUAAUUGUUUCUGGUAAUUAAAAAUUUUUUUUUAAAUUUUAAUUCAUUUAUUUUAACAAUGCUUUAACUUUUCUACCAAGGACUCCCAGUGGCAGAAGUGAGUUGGAUGAUUGCCCUCAGAAGUCCAGGGAUGGUGGCCCAAAGUGUGUCUGCUAUAAAUUGAAAAGGCCUUGCUUCCUGAUCUCACUAAAUUGCUCAGGCAGGACUUGAACUUGGAAUAUUCCUACUUUAGCCUCCAUCAGUGCUGGGAUUACAGGUGUGUGCCACUGUGCCCAUUUUUUUUAUUUAUUUACUUGGGUUUUUUUUUGUUUGUUUGUUUGUUUUUGGUACGGGGGAUUGAACUUGAGUCCUUGCGAUUGCGCAGCAGGCAGCGAAACCACUGAGCUAAAUCCCCCGGCCAUAUUUAGUUAAUUUUUUGAGAUGGGGCGGGGGUCCUCCCCUUUGUAGUGAAGGCUGGCCUUGAACUCACUUUCUAGCCCAGACUGGCCUCAAACUCAUG
Molecule: long non-coding RNA, 1043 nt
Filed under: Heterocephalus glaber (naked mole-rat)
Lineage: Eukaryota; Metazoa; Chordata; Mammalia; Rodentia; Bathyergidae
Description: lncRNA (ENSHGLG00100044905.1)
Source: RNAcentral